Molecule: small nuclear RNA, 107 nt
Organism: Otolemur garnettii (small-eared galago)
Lineage: Eukaryota; Metazoa; Chordata; Mammalia; Primates; Galagidae
Source: Ensembl
GUGCUCGCUUCUGCAGCACAUAUACUAAAAUUGGAAUGAUACAGAGAAGAUUAGCAUGGCCCCUGCACAAGGAUGACACGCCAAUUUGUGAAGUGUUCCAUAUUUUU